GUCUCAUUAGUGCAGUUGGUAGCGCAUCAGUCUCAUAAUCUGAAGGUCGUGAGUUCGAUCCUCACUGUAUGGGGCU
Non-coding RNA from Mus pahari (shrew mouse), 76 nucleotides. The record is from the annotation of a RefSeq genome assembly. NCBI's taxonomy places the organism in Eukaryota, Metazoa, Chordata, Mammalia, Rodentia, Muridae.